AUGGGAGACGGCAAGAAAUCCAGCUCCGGUCUCUGGUCGACGGUGGUGUCUUGGUUUCGCCCAUCCAAGGGCAAGGUGGCGAGCGCCGGCGACCGGACCAUGGAUAUGAUCCAGCCAGUGGGAUGGUCACGGCGGCCAGACAUUUCUCCCGUGCUCACAAAAUAA
This 165-nucleotide ribosomal RNA is filed under the name Triticum aestivum (bread wheat). RNAcentral describes it as "partial small subunit ribosomal RNA". Lineage: Eukaryota; Viridiplantae; Streptophyta; Magnoliopsida; Poales; Poaceae. The record is from RNAcentral.